RNAcentral lists this RNase P RNA (689 nucleotides) under Collybiopsis luxurians FD-317 M1. Its description in RNAcentral is "Gymnopus luxurians FD-317 M1 Nuclear RNase P". It matches the Rfam family "Nuclear RNase P". From Rfam's summary of the family: Ribonuclease P (RNase P) is a ubiquitous endoribonuclease, found in archaea, bacteria and eukarya as well as chloroplasts and mitochondria. The record is from Rfam by way of RNAcentral. Lineage: Eukaryota; Fungi; Basidiomycota; Agaricomycetes; Agaricales; Omphalotaceae.
GUAGGCCGAAAGCCACGACACUCGCUCCGCACAGAACCUUACCGUUCUUCUCUCGCGAGUGGGCUAAGGUCUGAGGAUAAAUGCUCCCUUAAUUGGCUCUAGCUGGGCCUGGCUUCAACUGGCCAAGUGGCUUAUCAGAAAAUCGCUGGAUGUCUCCUUUUUUGUCCAAAGACCUUCGUAUUCGUACGGAGUGAGGAAAAUGGGGGAUGUCUGGCUUGGAAUUAGUUAUGGAGAUUGGGCGCGAUUUUUUCGGCGUAUCUUCCUGGUUUCCCUCUACCUCACACGCAGAUGCUCCUUCAGGGAAGCGUGGGUGGCUGGUUGUUGAGCGGCAAAUAGCCGGCCCGCCGGUCACUUGUUCGAGUCCGCUGUGAAGCGGAUUUGAACCUGUUUUGUCACACUGCAGUACGCAGAAUUUUUAUACCGCGAACCGUUUAAACCUUCCUGUCCGCGGUGUAUCUGGCUAUAGCGCACAGCUUUUACACCACAGGCGGUCCGGGCGUUUGUAAUGUGCGGUAUACAUACUGAAGUUGGAGCGGUGUUGAUCCUGUGUAGGGAGGGAUCAGGGUUCGAAGAGAUGUUGAAUUUUACGCGUCCUUUAGUGCACUUCGUGGCGCGCGAUUUGCUUCAAGUCCGUCGUGAGACGAGCUUUGGGUUGUCGUGUAACUCGAUUCAGACUACUCUUGGCCUAC